Pelodiscus sinensis (Chinese soft-shelled turtle) is the source of this 942-nucleotide long non-coding RNA. RefSeq lists it as uncharacterized. The record is from RefSeq and is a predicted model, not a curated record. NCBI's taxonomy places the organism in Eukaryota, Metazoa, Chordata, Testudines, Trionychidae.
GAAACUUGCUCUUAUGUACAGUUUGAAGCUUAAGGUUCUGUAAUGAACACAUGAGGGAGCUGUGUGGCCUGAAAUGACUUAGAGCUUUAAAAAUGUACAGUGCUGCCAUUUCAGUGGGGAAAGAAAGCAAGAACAUUCACAAUUCAUGGGAGGUGACAUUUACUUCUGUACACUUGGCCAGCUCAAGCCACCAAAAGAAGGAGGACUGCUGAAAAAUAAGGGCCUGGCAGAAUAAACUAUACCUGCAUCCUGAUUAGCUGACUGACACUGCUAAUAUGGUGGGCUCCCAUCUAGGCAGAGUGACAUCAAAUCAACAUUUGACACUGGUUCUUGUUCUUUGGCUCAAAUCAUCAGGAAGCUGUACAUCUCUGUUGAGCAAAAGUUGAUCAGGUUAUAUUUAAUUGUUUGCUCUGAAAAUGCAAACUUCUGCUGCCCACCAAUCAGAAGAGAGAAGCAUUACCAAGUAUUGAAUACUGGUUUUCCAAAAGAGGUGUCAUCUUCUACCCAACAAAAUAAAGCCCACAGACACCAGGCACACCACUGUGGGACAUCAGAAGAUAAAAGAUAUUGUUGGUUGAUUCCCCCUACACCUAGGAAAAGGAGACACAUAAAAGAACUCAGCCUCUUAACUUGAACUCUGGAGGAAAGGAAUAAAAAUCCCUGAAAAAGAAGAAACUCUUAUUUCUUGUGCUGCUUGGACUUCAAGAGGCAAAGAUUUCCAAACAUAUGAAAGGGAGCCCUGCUGCUUACCCUAGGUUAUCCCUAAAGUACACAUGGAGCUUGCAUAUCACAGUAAUCUGAAUAGUGUUGUGAUUUUUGGUUGAAGGGGCCAUCUGUCACAAAGGUAAUCUUACGUGGGGGGUCCAGGAAGGCUAUGUCUAGACUGCUAAGAAAAGUCAUAAAAAGAUAUGUGAAUCGCAAUUUGCGUAUCUUUUUCUGCUA